Molecule: ribosomal RNA, 253 nt
Filed under: uncultured bacterium
Lineage: Bacteria
Description: partial 16S ribosomal RNA
Rfam family: Bacterial small subunit ribosomal RNA
Source: RNAcentral
UACGUAGGGUGCAGGCGUUAAUCGGAAUUACUGGGCGUAAAGCGUGCGCAGGCGGCUAUGCAAGACAGAUGUGAAAUCCCCGGGCUCAACCUGGGAACUGCAUUUGUGACUGCAAGGCUGGAGUACGGUAGAGGGGGAUGGAAUUCCGCGUGUAGCAGUGAAAUGCGUAGAUAUGCGGAGGAACACCGAUGGCGAAGGCAAUCCCCUGGACCUGUACUGACGCUCAUGCACGAAAGCGUGGGGAGCAAACAGG